GGAGAGGUGACAGAGUGGUCGAUUGUGCAGCACUGGAAAUGCUGUUUACCCGCAAGGUAACCAGGGUUCGAAUCCCUGCCUCUCCGCCA
RNAcentral lists this transfer RNA (89 nucleotides) under Lentisphaeria bacterium. RNAcentral's name for it is "tRNA-Ser". It matches the Rfam family "tRNA". From Rfam's summary of the family: Transfer RNA (tRNA) molecules are approximately 80 nucleotides in length. The record is from RNAcentral. RNAcentral also lists the same sequence under 2 other names. Lineage: Bacteria; Pseudomonadati; Lentisphaerota; Lentisphaeria.